UGAGGAAUAUUGCGCAAUGGGGGCAACCCUGACGCAGCAACGCCGCGUGAGUGAGGAAGGUUUUCGGACCGUAAAGCUCUGUCGAGCGGGAAGAAAUGCAUGGUGGCUAAUAGCCUGCAUACUUGACGGUACCACCAAAGGAAGCACCGGCUAACUCCGUGCCAGCAGCCGCGGUAAUACGGGGGGUGCAAGCGUUGUUCGGAAUUAUUGGGCGUAAAGAGCGUGUAGGCGGCUUGGCAAGUCAGAUGUGAAAGCCCUGGGCUUAACCCAGGAAGUGCAUUUGAAACUGCUUAGCUAGAGUAGGGGAGAGGGAAGUGGAAUUCCUGGUGUAGAGGUGAAAUUCGUAGAUAUCAGGAGGAACACCGGUGGCGAAGGCGACUUCCUGGCCCUAUACUGACGCUGAGACGCGAGAGCGUGGGUAGCAAACAG
This 429-nucleotide ribosomal RNA is filed under the name uncultured bacterium. RNAcentral's name for it is "bacterial SSU rRNA". It matches the Rfam family "Bacterial small subunit ribosomal RNA", at positions 355 to 775 of the family's 1533-position model. The record is from RNAcentral.